GAUGAACGCUGGCGGCGUGCCUAAUACAUGCAAGUCGAGCGAACAGAUAAGGAGCUUGCUCCUUUGACGUUAGCGGCGGACGGGUGAGUAACACGUGGGUAACCUACCUAUAAGACUGGGAUAACUUCGGGAAACCGGAGCUAAUACCGGAUAAUAUUUCGAACCGCAUGGUUCGAUAGUGAAAGAUGGUUUUGCUAUCACUUAUAGAUGGACCCGCGCCGUAUUAGCUAGUUGGUAAGGUAACGGCUUACCAAGGCGACGAUACGUAGCCGACCUGAGAGGGUGAUCAGCCACACUGGAACUGAGACACGGUCCAGACUCCUACGGGAGGCAGCAGUCGGGAAUCUUCCUCAAUGGGCGAAAGCCUGACGGAGCAACGCCGCGUGAGUGAUGAAGGUCUUCGGAUCGUAAAACUCUGUUAUUAGGGAAGAACAUAAGUGUAAGUAAAUGUGCACGUCUUGACGGUACCUAAUCAGAAAGCCCCGGCUAACUACGUG
This 497-nucleotide ribosomal RNA is filed under the name uncultured bacterium. RNAcentral describes it as "partial 16S ribosomal RNA". It matches the Rfam family "Bacterial small subunit ribosomal RNA", at positions 28 to 507 of the family's 1533-position model. The record is from RNAcentral.